GUUAAGAGAAGCAAACAAGGGCGCAUGGGGGAUGCCUAGGCUCUCGGAGGCGAAGAAGGGCGCGGUAAGCUGCGAAAACUUGCGGGGACCCGCAAACAGGGUGUGAUCCGCAGGUUCCCGAAUGGGGCAACCCGGCCUGCUGAAGGCAGGCCACACCGAAAGGUGAGCAGACCCGGGGAACUGAAACAUCUAAGUACCCGGAGGAAGAGAAAACAAUAGUGAUUGCGCCUGUAGUGGCGAGCGAAAGCGCAAGAGCCCAAACCACGCCGGUCAAGGCCGGUGUGGGGUAAUAGGACCGUAGGACCAAACAGACCGUGACAUGAACUGCAUGGGAAGGCAGGCCAUAGAGGGUGAGAGCCCCGUAAUGGGAACGGAAAGGGAGGGGCGGUAUCCUGAGUAGGGCGGGGUCGGAGACGCCCCGCUUGAAAUAGCCGGCACCAUCCGGUAAGGCUAAAUACAUCCGAGAGACCGAUAGUGGACCAGUACCGUGAGGGAAAGGUGAAAAGCACCCCGAACAGGGGGGUGAAAGGAGAACCUGAAACCGUGCGCCCACAAGCGGUCAGAGCUCCGAAAUGGAGUAAUGGCGUGCCUUUUGCAUAAUGAGCCUACGAGUUGCCGUCACCGGCAAGGUUAACCCCGUAGACGGGGGCAGCCGGAGCGAAAGCGAGCCUGAACAGGGCGCAGAGUCGGUGGUGGCAGACGCGAAACUUUGUGAUCUACCCUUGGCCAGGGUGAAGCCCCGUUAACACGGGGUGGAGGCCCGAACCAGUGAGCGUUGAAAAGCUCUUGGAUGAGCCGAGGGUAGGGGUGAAAGGCUAAUCAAACUGAGAAAUAGCUCGUACUCCCCGAAAUGCCUUUAGGGGCAGCGUGGGGGUUUAGAGUUUGGCGGAGGUAGAGCUACCGAUUGGGCUAGGGGGGGUCACACCCUACCAAACCCAGACGAACUCCGAAUGCCGCCAAACAUACCCCGCAGUGAGGGCAUGGGUGCUAAGGUCCGUGCCCGAGAGGGAAAGAACCCAGACCUGCGGCUAAGGUCCCAAAAUCCAUACUAAGUUGAACUAAGGAGGUCCAGUUGCCGAGACAGCCAGGAGGUUAGCUUGGAAGCAGCUAUUCCUUUAAAGAGUGCGUAACAGCUCACUGGUCGAGCGACAGGGCAUCGAUAAUGAUCGGGCAUCAAGUAUGGUACCGAAGCCCAGGAUUGUUCCGAUUUAUCGGAACAGUGGUAGGGGAGCAUUCCAGCAGCGGAGAAGCCUUGGGGACAACCUUGGGUGGAGCGGCUGGAAAAGCAAAUGUAGGCAUAAGUAACGAGAAGGCGGGUGAGAACCCCGCCCACCGAUAGACUAAGGUUUCCGCGGCAAUGUCAAUCAGCCGCGGGUUAGCCAGGGCCUAAGGCGCAGCCGAAGGGCGUAGCCGAUGGACAACGGGUCAACAUUCCCGUGCUGCCAUUCCGGGCGAUGGGGAGAAGGAGGAGUGAAAGCCACGCGCCCUGACGGAACAGGGCGUUAAAGGGCGUAGGUAUAUCAGGGGCAGGCAAAUCCACCCUUGGUGCUGAAACCCGAUAGUACGCGGAGGCCUCGGCCGAAGCGAUAGUUGGCGUAAUCAUGCUCCCUAGAAAACCCCCUAAGCAAUACCGGUAUGGCACCUGUACCGCAAACCGACACAGGUAGUCAAGGAGAAUAUCCUGAGGUGCUCGGGUGAACCAUGGCCAAGGAACUCGGCAAAAUAACCCUGUAACUUCGGGAGAAGGGGAGCCCCGACCUAGUCGGGGCCGCAGAGAAAUGGCCCAGGCGACUGUUUAACAAAAACACAUGGCUUUGCGAAAUCGCAAGAUGAAGUAUAAGGCCUGACACCUGCCCGGUGCUGGAAGGUUAAGGGGGGGCGUGAGCCGCAAGGCGGGGCGCUGAACCGAAGCCCCAGUAAACGGCGGCCGUAACUAUAACGGUCCUAAGGUAGCGAAAUUCCUUGUCGGGUAAGUUCCGACCUGCACGAAUGGUGUAACGAUCUGGGCGCUGUCUCGGCCAUGGGCCCGGUGAAAUUGUAGCCACGGUGAAGAUGCCGUGUACCCGUCACGGGACGGAAAGACCCCAUGAACCUUUACUAUAGCUUCGCAUUGGCACUGGGGUGGCGGUGUGUAGGAUAGGCGGGAGGCGUAGAUCCCCGGCCGCUAGGCCGGGGGGAGCCAACGGUGAAAUACCGCCCUCCGCUUCCUCGGUGCCUAAUCCUGUGGAUACAGGAGACAUUGCGUGGUGGGUAGUUUGACUGGGGUGGUCGCCUCCGAAAGCGUAUCGGAGGCUUUCAAAGGCAUGCUCAGCACGGUCGGUAACCGUGCGCGGAGCGCAAUAGCAGAAGCAUGCUUGACAGUGAGGCCGACAGGCCGAUCUGGCGCGAAAGCGGGAUAUAGUGAUCCGGUGGUCCUGUAUGGAAGGGCCAUCGCUCAAAGGAUAAAAGGUACUCUGGGGAUAACAGGCUGAUCUCCCCCAAGAGCUCAUAUCGACGGGGAGGUUUGGCACCUCGAUGUCGGCUCGUCACAUCCUGGGGCUGGAGAAGGUCCCAAGGGUCGGGCUGUUCGCCCGUUAAAGUGGCACGCGAGCUGGGUUCAGAACGUCGUGAGACAGUUCGGUCCCUAUCUGUGAUGGGCGUUGGAAGCUUGAGGGGUUCUGGCCUUAGUACGAGAGGACCGGGCUGGACCAACCGCUGGUGUACCGGUUGCAGCGCCAGCUGCACAGCCGGGUAGCCAUGUUGGGAAGGGAUAAGCGCUGAAAGCAUCUAAGCGCGAACCCCACCCCGAGAUGAGGCUUCCGAACAAGGGCCGUGGGAGACGACCACGUGGAUAGGCCGCAGGUGUAAGGCCGGCAACGGUCGGGCCGAGCGGUACUAAUUGCCCGUACGCUUCAAGAAAA
RNAcentral lists this ribosomal RNA (2900 nucleotides) under Cytophagales bacterium. RNAcentral's name for it is "23S ribosomal RNA". It matches the Rfam family "Bacterial large subunit ribosomal RNA". The record is from RNAcentral. Lineage: Bacteria; Pseudomonadati; Bacteroidota; Cytophagia; Cytophagales.